Molecule: long non-coding RNA, 2586 nt
Organism: Pteropus alecto (black flying fox)
Lineage: Eukaryota; Metazoa; Chordata; Mammalia; Chiroptera; Pteropodidae
Exons: 4
Source: RefSeq, a predicted model, not a curated record
CCAACACCCACCACCCCGCCUCGGGAGAGGCACCCUAGGCCUCCCCGGCGGCCGCAGGGCUGGUCCGAGAGCCGCCGAUCCCGCCAGCUCCUCUCCGGGACUGAGGGCGCACGGUCCCCACGCCUGUCCCCUUUCAGCGCGGAGCGGAGCCAUGAGAAUUCAGGAAAGAACAACGUCACUUGCAAAGUUCUACAGUUUGCAGAGCAGGUCCGCCAAGUCGUCUUGCUCCUCUGAGUCUCCCUGGCUCUCCAUUUCACAAAGGAUGAAAUGAGAGCCGCAGAAAACUUAAUGGGCCCGCUUUAGCUAAUAGAGCUCUGUGCAUGCACAGACCACAGACAGCAGGAUCCAGCCCAGCCUGUCUCAAUCUGGGGUUGACCCGGCUGUUUGACAGGUGAAUGGGAAGGCAGACAAACCAUGGGGAGCCUGUGUGGAAAUCUUCAAAAAUUUGAAGUGUCCUUCUGACUGAGGCUGAAGAAGGGAAAACACUUCCUGGUUUCUCCUUCUUGCCGACUUCUUAGCAAGCAGUCGAGGUGUCUGGAGGUGUCUGGAGGUUGUCUUUCAUCCGAUUGUCUCUUUAAUGUAAUUUAUGGUAAUUUGGAUUUGUUCACCUGUCUUCUGGUGGCUGUGCCCAUUUUAUGUGUUGCCCUCCCACACUCCCUCCAACCGCCCAGUGAUUCUUGGACAGAGGCGGGGAUGGAGGAAUUGGGUUUCAUGCUUCCUUCUAUUCCCCACAGCACUCAGCCCAGGGUCUUAGACACGAACUCUCCUGAACUCUAGGCCCAUCUAUCCAAUAGCAUACCUUAUAUCUCCACCAACAUGUCUGUAAAUAGUGCCAACUCAACCCGUUCUCUGUCCUCACCCACCACCAGCGGGAAACCUGCUCUUCCCCAUCGCUGUUAAUAACAUCCUUUCAGUGGCUCAGGUCAGAAAUUUUGGUGUCAUGUAUACUUCUCCUUCCUCUCACCCCCACAUCGAGUCCAUCAGAAAAUCCUCUCGUGGUCAGCCCUCUACUGCACUCCAGCCGCAUCGGCCUCCCUGCAAUUUCUCGAACACACCAGGUGCGCUUCAGCCUCAUGGCCUUUGCACUGGAUAGUCCUCUGCUCGAUCGCUCUGCCCUCUUGGCAUAGUCUUUGCCUAAACAUCCCUUCUCAAUGAAUCCCACCCUGCAACGCUAUUUAGACGUAUAAGUCCUCCCUACCAGAAAGUAAACUCCACAAGACUCAGAGCAUUGUGUUUUGUUCACCCAUGCAUCCCGGAAACUUAGUGCCUGACACAAUGUAAUUGUUUAAGGAACAAAUAAACAUUGGUUUGAAAUGAAUGGUGGUCACAAGCCCACACAUUUCCCUAGGAAGCCAUGCUCCUUCCAUAGCUAGUCUGGCUUCUUUGCAUCUGCUGCAGGGACAUAAGGAGCUAUGGAUCUGCUGGACGCACAGGAAGAGGGAACAAAAUUAAAUGGGGUGAAGAGAAUGAGAAGACAAGUCACAGACUAGGAGAGAAAUCUUUGCAAAGACAUCGCUGAUAAAGGACCGGUAUCCGAAAUACAAAAGGAACUCUUAAAACUCAACCAUAAGAAAACAAACAACCCAAAUGAAAAAUGGACAAAAGACCUGAACAAAUAGCUCGCCAGAUAUACACAUGGCAAAUAAACAUAUGAAAAGAUGCUCAACAUUGUAUCAUUAUGGAACUGCAAAUUAAAACAAUGAGCUACCACCGCACACCUAGUAGAAUGUUCAAAACUCAGAGCACUGAUAACACCAAAUGCUGGCGAGAUGGAGCAAGAGGAACUCUUAUUCAUUGCUGGUCAGAAUGCAAAAUAGUACAUUCACUUUGGAAGAUAGUUUGGCAGUUUCUCAUGAAACUUAACAUACUCUUACCGUAUAAUCCAACAAUUGUGCUCGUUGGUAUUUACCCAAAGAAACUGAAAACUUAUAUACGCACAGACGCAGAUGUUUAUAGCAGCGUUAUUCAGAAUUGCCCAAACUUGGAAGCAACCAAGAUGCCCUUCAGUAGGUGAACAGAUAAAUAAAUCAGCGCAUCCAGAUGAUGGAAUAUUAUCCAGUGCUAAAAUGAAACAAGCUAUCAAUCCAUGAAAAGACAAGGAGAAACCUUAGAUAUUACUAAGUGAAAGAAACCAAUCUGAAAAGGCUACAUACUAUAUGAUUCCCACAAUAUAACAGUCUGGAAAAAGCAAAACUAUGGAGAGAGUAAAAAGAUGAGUGGUUGCCAGUAGCUGGAAGGAGGGAGAGAUGAAUAAGUAGAGAACAGAGGAUUUUUAAGCCAGUGAAAAUACUCUGUAUGGAACUAUAAUGAUGGACACGUUAUCAUACAUCUGUCCAAACUCAUAGACUGGACCCUAAUGUAAACUAUAGACUCUGGGUGAUAAUGACCCCUCAGUGAAAAUUUAUCGAUUAUAGUAAAUGUAACAUUAUGGUGUUGACAGUGGGGAGGACUAUGCAUGUGCGGGGAUGGGGGUAUAUGAGAACUUACAGUACUUUCUGCUCAAUUUUGCUAUGAACAUAAAACUAGCCUUAAAAAGUCUACUAAAAAAGUAAUAAAAAUGGGCCAUAGGUCUUUCCAAGCAGUAAA